This is a long non-coding RNA of Frieseomelitta varia, 931 nucleotides long. RefSeq lists it as uncharacterized. The record is from RefSeq and is a predicted model, not a curated record. NCBI's taxonomy places the organism in Eukaryota, Metazoa, Arthropoda, Insecta, Hymenoptera, Apidae. The transcript is spliced from 3 exons.
GAAGAUAUUUAUGUUCUUAUUGGAUAUUUCGCUUUUCCAUCAAACGAAUCCUAUUCGUGCUUGGCCCCCCCCUCCCCGCCGCGACAAAUUGGUUAGCGACACGGAACUUGUUGCGUAGAGGGUUAGUCUAAUGUUUACAAUCGUGGUGUUUAAGUGUAUUAUUGCGUGAUAUUAACUAGUGCAAUACUUUCAUCGCCAUUGUUUCACUAUUCAUAGCCACGCUACUAUCAAUCUUCCUUCAAUUAGCAACAUUAGAAGAUUGAUUUCGAAGUAUCGGGGAGACGUCAUGACAGGACGAAAGGAUGCCGCCAAAUUUAAAAAGGACGCCAUGUUGAAAACUUUUCAUGAAGAAAGCACCGGCUCUUUUUUCGUCGCGAUCCUCGAUGGAUAUCUAGAGGAAAUGUUGCAUUGCGAGGCGAGAGAGCUCACGCGAGAAGCGGAGGCAAUAAUCGCCUAAUCGCGACUUGCCGAGGGGGAAAUCGUGAAGGAGCGGAGGAUGGUUACGCGAAGAAGUUUAGCGGAGAACGUUUCGAUGGAUUGUGGACUCGAUCGUGGAGCAUCGGGAAGUUGGCUUCCUUUUCGAGAAAAGGAGCACACAGUGAAAUCGAGAAGCGUUUUCUCAGAGACGAAGUUGCGAGCAAGUCGAAGUUGCAAGGACUCGCGAGAAAUCCAAGAGUUGGAUGUAAAUGGAAUGGUUCGAAGUUUGUACGCUAGUACGUGAUUAUUAGUUUUCGUCUACGUAUGUAUAUUCGAUUAUUUUGAUAGCAAGGCGAGAGGGCUGACGAGAGAUCAGAAAAUUAGAUGUGGAUGGUUAAUAUUGAAAGUAUGUGAGUUUAUCGGUGUAUUUAUAUUUAGACGUGUAUUUUAUAUUCUAUGUUGUCCAAAUAAUAAUUCGACUAUUUUGGUAGUAAAGUGAAAGGACUAAGGGAAA